This 389-nucleotide unclassified non-coding RNA is filed under the name Hevea brasiliensis (rubber tree). The record is from RNAcentral. Lineage: Eukaryota; Viridiplantae; Streptophyta; Magnoliopsida; Malpighiales; Euphorbiaceae.
GUUAAAGGUGAUUCGCAGAUGCCAAAACCCUCGCCGAUGAGCUCCGAUCGCUCGCCUAGGGAGGAUUGUGCGUCCAUGACCGAUCACGAGCUCGAGGACGCAAUUAAGAGGCAUAAGUUCAAUAUUGCAAAAUUUGGUCCCUCUUUGCCUGACAAAGGGGAGAAGCUUCGGGCGUGGUUUAACGUCUUGGAGAAUGAGCACCAGCGGAGAAAGCUUCGACGUUCAGAAAUGGAUGUUGAUGUAUGUGAGAUACCCACUCAGUUAGUAAAUUCAGAUGGCUUUAAACGACAGAAUGCAUCAUCUGAAGUCCAUUCACAAUCUGAAUUUGCGUCUAUUUUUAGUAGAAAGAUGGAAGAAAAUACAGAUAGCAAGGUAGGCAAAGCAUUUGA